AAUGAUGAUGGACACCGGGAAGCGAUCCGCUACUCUCAGUAGUGAAAGUAAACAGAUGAGAGUAUCUGAUUUAAUUCAAACAAGUUCAAGUACAAAAAACUGCAACUUCAUCAACAAUUAAUUAUGGCACGAAGGAAGAGAAAACUACUACUCAAAGCUGGUGUGAAGGGGGACGAAAAUCCCCCAUCAUCCUUUGAGGAAGAAGUGAGAAUUUGGGGGCAAACGUUUUAUUUGGAAUUUAUUUACGUGUUUAUAUUUUUAAUAUUUUGACAUUUAUUAUCUUGAAUUUAAUAUGUAGUGAUGUAUGCGGCAUACAUUAUAAAUUAUUCGUGAAUUAUUCAUACUUGGAUUUGAGUAAAUAAAUAAUACAUGAUUAUGUUAUAACCUGUAACUGUAUGUACCCCCACCUGGUUGGGAUGAUGGGUCGUCGUCACCUUUUUUAUCGUCAUCUGUACCUCGAGUUUCUCUGUCCACUGCAAGAUCCAAACCAAAAACAAAACGUGGAGGACGGCCUGCUAAAACAAAAUUAGAUGAAACAACAAGCAGCUUGAUCUCUGUCCCCUCUUCCAAUAAGAAUGAUUCAAAAACAUCACAAUCUUUCGCCACUGGAUCUGAUUGCAGGAGUUCCUCUCCAAAGUGUAUCAUUUGUAAAAUUGACAUUUCUAGUAUGAAGAUGCAUCGUGAGAGAUUGUACCAGAAACAGGUUCAAGAUUGGAAACAUAUAAUGCUAACGAAUGAAGGAGUAUCGAGCACCAUCAACACCAACAGUGCUGAACCUUGUGAAUCAUGUUUCAAGGAAUUUGUACUUGAAUCUUGGAAUAUUUCGGAACAAAUUAACAAUUUGCAACUUAUACUGAAAGAGCUAACUAAAAGAGUGAUAGAUAAUCAGGAUAGAUGUGUGUAUUACUUAUAUAUUUUGCAGUUAUUCCUAUUUUUUGCAGGGAAGAGAAAAUCGAAACAAUUCAAAGUUGGAAAAAUGUGGGGUGGAGGACGAGGAUCAAGCUUUAGAUUCGUCAUCUUCUGACACAGAGUACUCAUCAGACUCGGAAUACGAUCCGUUGGAAGACUUGAAAGCAAGAAAGUCGAAAAAUAGGAGAAUUAGACAACCAAAAAUUCUGACUAAACCCAAAACCAAAUUCAACAGAACUGUUGGCAGUGGAGGGAUCAAUAAUAAAAACUCCACACAAAAUAAUAUUAUCAAGCUGGAACCAGUAAUGUCGGACAGGAAAGGAGAGAAUUCACCAUCAGUUGAAGUUACCGAACCACUUAAUCUCACUAAAUUUCUGGUUGGUCAAAGUCAAAAGUCAAGUUGGAGGAAACCACAAAUGUUGACGUAACUUUCAAGAUGCCACUCAUAAUACCUGGAUACGAAGCAGUUUGCUCCCACUGCGGUACCAUCAGCCGAAAUCUUGAACAUUGUGAAUUUUGUCGAACUUUACUUUUGAAAAAUGCCAAAAUUCUAAAAGUUGGGACACGAGUUUGUCAUUUGAAAUCUGACUUGGAUUUGAAAUCAAUGAAAUUCCCAGAAGAUUCUCCCCCAUCUGAAAAUGUGCCAUCUCUUAAUAUCCGAAUUAAGGACGAAUUGGCUAAUGAUAGCUCUGACGACGAGAACUCAGCAGAAAUGCCCUUGAUCCAAAUAAGAAAAAUUGAAUCAUUAUUAGACAAA
Long non-coding RNA from Folsomia candida, 1666 nucleotides. RefSeq lists it as uncharacterized. Lineage: Eukaryota; Metazoa; Arthropoda; Collembola; Entomobryomorpha; Isotomidae. The transcript is spliced from 6 exons. The record is from RefSeq and is a predicted model, not a curated record.